GCCCUUAGAGUUUGAUCCUGGCUCAGAACGAACGCUGGCGGCAGGCUUAACACAUGCAAGUCGUACGAAGCCUUCGGGCUUAGUGGCGGACGGGUGAGUAACGCGUGGGAACGUGCCCCUUGGUACGGAAUAGUCCCUGGAAACGGGGUUUAAUACCGUAUGACCUCUGAGGAGGAAAGAUUUAUCGCCGAGGGAUCGGCCCGCGUUGGAUUAGGUAGUUGGUGGGGUAAUGGCCUACCAAGCCGACGAUCCAUAGCUGGUUUGAGAGGAUGAUCAGCCACACUGGGACUGAGACACGGCCCAGACUCCUACGGGAGGCAGCAGUGGGGAAUCUUAGACAAUGGGGGAAACCCUGAUCUAGCCAUGCCGCGUGAUCGAUGAAGGCCUUAGGGUUGUAAAGAUCUUUCGCUGGGGAAGAUAAUGACGGUACCCAGUAAAGAAGCCCCGGCUAACUCCGUGCCAGCAGCCGCGGUAAUACGGAGGGGGCUAGCGUUGUUCGGAAUUACUGGGCGUAAAGCGCGCGUAGGCGGGCUGGAAAGUGGGGGUGAAAUCCCGGG
This 557-nucleotide ribosomal RNA is filed under the name uncultured Alphaproteobacteria bacterium. RNAcentral describes it as "bacterial SSU rRNA". It matches the Rfam family "Bacterial small subunit ribosomal RNA", at positions 1 to 606 of the family's 1533-position model. The record is from RNAcentral. Lineage: Bacteria; Pseudomonadati; Pseudomonadota; Alphaproteobacteria.